Molecule: long non-coding RNA, 2090 nt
Organism: Xenopus laevis (African clawed frog)
Lineage: Eukaryota; Metazoa; Chordata; Amphibia; Anura; Pipidae
Exons: 2
Source: RefSeq, a predicted model, not a curated record
CAGGCCAACCCACAACAGAUAUCGGAUAGUAGAACAUCCAUACCACUCUUAAAGCUGAAAGUCUGCAGUUCAACUGCAUCUGAGUUGUUUCAUUUAAAAUUCAUUGUGGUAAUGUACAGAACCAAAAUUAGAAAAAAGUUGUCUCUUAUGCCUUGCUGUUUUGUCUCUAAUUCAAGAUUGCUGUGCUUUAAGUAGUUUGAGACAAUCAACAAACAGCAAAUGGGCGAAUCAAAGAUUUAUAAGCUUUUCUGCAGAUGGCUUUUGCAAAACAAGGGCAUUACCAGCUAGGUGUCUGUCUUGAGUUUUUAGUAUGCACUAUUGUUUUCUUGUGUGGAAAUGUAUUAAACUGCAGUAUUGUUAUCCAUUGGGUGACCUGACUCAAUUGUGUUAAAUGUUAAGGAAUCAAUCGCUUUUGGAUUGCAAGUUAUUGUACACACCCCACCUAUUUUGGGCUUUAAGACACUGAGAAGAAACCAAUGUUGUUGAUGAGAAAAUAUUCAUGCUUUUAAUAAAAAUAGAUUUGGUUAUGCUUAUUCUUUUAAUAUAAAUCAUAUGUUGGUCAACAGAGGUGCUAAAAUGUGUUUGUGCAAUUGCCACUGCCAGCCACAUAUAAGUUUACAAAAUAAAAAUCUGAUAUCUGAAUGGUUACUAUAAGUAUCUGCACCUACUAAUAUAGGUCUCCGUAGCUGCUGUUGUCCAAUACUCAACUGCCUUCAGUGUGAAGUAUAUACACAUAAUUUGUUUUAAUACAUUCCCAGGGAAAUCCAUCUUCACAAUGUCCUGGAAGCUCCACUGACAAUUGCCUUGUAAUCCAUGAGAUCCCAAGUGCUGAGGAAAGAACCUUUGAACACCUUCCCAAGCAGUUGCCUAAAUCCAGCCUAGAAAACCUCCAUGAUACACAGCAGGUGAUUCUAAUGGAUGAGACUGAUGUGAAUCUUCAGCUGGAGGUGGAAGAAUCUCAUUACCCAAGCAGCUCUUUCCUGGCACAGGACCAGGUUGUGAUCCCAAAUGCUUCCUUUCCAGUGACAGAUCAGUCCAUAAUUCCCAGCAAUUCAUUUAUAGUAGAAAAUUCCUUUAAUCCUAAUAGCUGUACUGCUGAUGAGGAGUUGGCUCUUGAUUUGGUACAAGACAGCGCUCCUGAGGACCCUGAUAGUGUCAUUGAUUUGAUUCUUAAAUGAAAAUGCCUCUGCAAGCAACAUUAACAUACUUGACAGGCGAGGAAGUGUUUCUGUGCUGUAAACAUAAUGAUUGAUAAUCUGUAUUUAAUACAUUUGCUCAUAAAAUAUGAUCAUAUAAUGUUUUAAUUACAAAAUUGUGGUACCAAUGAAACCAGGAUAUCCAAUUCCAAGGUCCAUACCCAGUGUUUGUUUCAUUUAUCUUACCUUUUUGGUCGGAGUCCGUAAAUCUGACCGCUGUUUUGGGACAACAUUGAGAGAGGUGUUUGAUAUUUUGGCAUCUGCCUGGUUAAGGAAAUGGAAAAUUGUAAGGUUAGCUUCAGUACAGUACACCCAAGGCAGUUGCCAAGGGUCUGUUGUACAUUCUCUCUUUUGUGAGCAUUCUGUCAUUGCAGGGAUUGAAUAGUGACAGAAAUGUAAAAAGGAAGAAGAAUGUCCCCAUAUCCCAUUAGAUGUGACUAACUUCCUUUUUUUUUUAGAGAGGAGAUCCAAGACUUCUUGAACUGCAUUGAUGCCAGCCUAGAGGAUCUUCAGACCAUCCUGUGCAAAAGGAAAUUUGAUGUAGACUCUGUUUCAGCAUUGCUAUUAUAAACCUGUUUCUAACAAUGUUUUCCAAUUAUGCCUUUUCCAGUCAUUUUAUUUAUCACAUCCUCCUAAUCUUUCUUAUCUCAUUCCUAAGGCUUCCUGUCUGCAUUAGUACAUGACUGAUGGGGGGUGUUUUCAUUUGCAGCUAAUUCGAGGCAGUUAUAAUUUAUCUGCAAAAGAAUGGCCUGACAGAAUUGACUAGCUCUCUAAAUGGCCUGUUCUGUUUGGGCAUGUGGAUAUAAUCUAAACCGGCAUUGAGAAGUUUCUCAUAAAUAACUAUUUGAGGGGCACAAAUCUUAUAUGCAAGCACCUUAAAGACAUUUAUUUUCU